CUUGCAUCUUUCUCUAUGAUUUUUAUGAUAUUUGUUCUUAAAGUGGGAUUUUUUUUCUAGGAAGACUUUGUUACUUUUAUUGGAACUUUAGAAAUAAAUCUUCUCAAGUCUGUGGUUUCUGUUCAUUCUGAAAAGAAUAUUUUUUCUGCAUUAUUCUGGUACUUUUCUAAGAACCAGAAUUGUUGCCAGGAUUAGGAAUAACAUGUAUGUAAAGCAUCUGAACCAGAGGAGAUUUAGCACUCACAUGAACAGGAAACAAGAAAUGUACCAAUUCUUUGGCCUCCAACAGAAACCAAAUAAGGUUUAGAAAAUGAUUGUUUCUAUAAAAUAACUAAUAGAUUUUUGGUUUAUACAGUGCAGCAAGGAGCACUGUUUAGACCAAGUCUGCACUAAGAGGUGUCAAUUUUUUCCUUUCAUGAAAAUUUCUAAAAUGGAAAAUGUUUGUGUAAGUAUAACACUAGAAUCACUUUGCAUGGAUAUAUUUCUACUCCCAUGUAAAUAACUAGGGAUUACCAUGACUAUGAAAUUGUUGGUCUUUAAAACCUUCCUCUCAAAUAUGGAAGGUGGGAUUUGUUGCCUUUUAUUAGUGCUCUCCUUCAAGAGGACACAGGAGUUUCUGUUUGCAGAUUAGUGGGUGCUCCUGAAGAGGGAAAUUCAUAAGCUCAGCCAAGCAAUAUUUGCAAGGCUGCGGUUCUGAGCACUGCUUCACAUAUUUGCUGUACACAUGCCAAGAGGAAGUUUUCCUGACCAUGGAGCAAAUUCUUAAAGAAAUACCUGCAAAACAGGUGCUGAUGCCAUCAAGUGAUGGAAGGUGAUAUGCUGAGAUGCUUUAUGUCAGCAAUGAGGGCAAUCAGAUUCCCAGAAAACAAUUCCAAGCUGAUCUCCAGAACAGAAAGAGUUAAUAAAGUUGCUGUGACAAAAUUUAUGGGACUAAAACAAACUAAGUCACUGAUGAAGAAAGGAGGAAGAGUGCAUUUGCUCCUGAGAUCCAGCUCUACUGAGGAUUUUAUCUGUUUUUUCAGAUCCAAGACAAGAGAUUACAUUAUGACUGACAUGCUGAUGUAUUUUUUUACUCCUUGUAAGAACCUAAGCAGUGCAGGAGUUUUGGUACAGGCUGCAUUUCAGCGUGUUGAAAGAUUCUGUGCUUGUUCCAAGAGGCUCCCAAUGAAAUUUCCUCACACUGAAUGUCCAUGGCAUUUCAAUUCUGCACUUGCUACAAAGGCACAGGGCAUGACCAGUUCCUUGGUUUCCAUCCCUCUCACUCCAUUCCCAACAAAUACAGUACAAUGCCAAGUACAGUCCUUUUCACAUGCAGCUUUCCUUCUUCCACCCAGGAUUUAA
This 1341-nucleotide long non-coding RNA is filed under the name Cyanistes caeruleus (blue tit). Its description in RNAcentral is "lncRNA (ENSCCEG00000023213.1)". The record is from RNAcentral. Lineage: Eukaryota; Metazoa; Chordata; Aves; Passeriformes; Paridae.